AUUGAACGCUGGCGGCAGGCCUAACCCAUGCAAGUCGAACGAGUGGCGGACGGGUGAGUAAUGUCUGGGAAACUGCCUGAUGGAGGGGGAUAACUACUGGACACGGUAGCUAAUACCGCAUACCAUCGGAUGUGCCCAGAUGGGCUUAGCGAGUAGGUGGGGGAAAGGCUCACCUAGGCGACGCUCCCUAGCUGGUCUGAGAGGAUGAACAGCCAAACUGGAACUCAGACACGGUCCAGACUCCUACGGGAGGCAGCAGUGGGGAAGAGUGCACAAUGAGCGCAAGCCUGAUGCAGCCAUGCCGCGUGUAUGAAGAAGGCCGUCGGGUUGUAAAGUACUUUCAGCGGGGAGGCGUUACCCGGAGAAGAAGCACCGGGUAACUCCGGGCCAGCAGCCGCGGUAAUAG
This 406-nucleotide ribosomal RNA is filed under the name uncultured bacterium. RNAcentral's name for it is "partial 16S ribosomal RNA". It matches the Rfam family "Bacterial small subunit ribosomal RNA", at positions 29 to 526 of the family's 1533-position model. The record is from RNAcentral.